AUACGUAGGUGGCAAGCGUUGUCCGGAUUUAUUGGGCGUAAAGCGAGCGCAGGCGGUUUCUUAAGUCUGAUGUGAAAGCCCCCGGCUCAACCGGGGAGGGUCAUUGGAAACUGGGAGACUUGAGUGCAGAAGAGGAGAGUGGAAUUCCAUGUGUAGCGGUGAAAUGCGUAGAUAUAUGGAGGAACACCAGUGGCGAAGGCGGCUCUCUGGUCUGUAACUGACGCUGAGGCUCGAAAGCGUGGGGAGCAAACAGGAUUAGAUACCCUGGUAGUCCACGCCGUAAACGAUGAGUGCUAAGUGUUGGAGGGUUUCCGCCCUUCAGUGCUGCAGCAAACGCAUUAAGCACUCCGCCUGGGGAGUACGACCGCAAGGUUGAA
Molecule: ribosomal RNA, 377 nt
Filed under: uncultured bacterium
Lineage: Bacteria
Also listed under: 1 other name
Description: bacterial SSU rRNA
Rfam family: Bacterial small subunit ribosomal RNA
Source: RNAcentral